This 1267-nucleotide ribosomal RNA is filed under the name Escherichia coli. Its description in RNAcentral is "partial 23S ribosomal RNA". It matches the Rfam family "Bacterial large subunit ribosomal RNA", at positions 617 to 1869 of the family's 2925-position model. Lineage: Bacteria; Pseudomonadati; Pseudomonadota; Gammaproteobacteria; Enterobacterales; Enterobacteriaceae. The record is from RNAcentral.
GGGUCAGCGACUUAUAUUCUGUAGCAAGGUUAACCGAAUAGGGGAGCCGAAGGGAAACCGAGUCUUAACUGGGCGUUAAGUUGCAGGGUAUAGACCCGAAACCCGGUGAUCUAGCCAUGGGCAGGUUGAAGGUUGGGUAACACUAACUGGAGGACCGAACCGACUAAUGUUGAAAAAUUAGCGGAUGACUUGUGGCUGGGGGUGAAAGGCCAAUCAAACCGGGAGAUAGCUGGUUCUCCCCGAAAGCUAUUUAGGUAGCGCCUCGUGAAUUCAUCUCCGGGGGUAGAGCACUGUUUCGGCAAGGGGGUCAUCCCGACUUACCAACCCGAUGCAAACUGCGAAUACCGGAGAAUGUUAUCACGGGAGACACACGGCGGGUGCUAACGUCCGUCGUGAAGAGGGAAACAACCCAGACCGCCAGCUAAGGUCCCAAAGUCAUGGUUAAGUGGGAAACGAUGUGGGAAGGCCCAGACAGCCAGGAUGUUGGCUUAGAAGCAGCCAUCAUUUAAAGAAAGCGUAAUAGCUCACUGGUCGAGUCGGCCUGCGCGGAAGAUGUAACGGGGCUAAACCAUGCACCGAAGCUGCGGCAGCGACGCUUAUGCGUUGUUGGGUAGGGGAGCGUUCUGUAAGCCUGUGAAGGUGUGCUGUGAGGCAUGCUGGAGGUAUCAGAAGUGCGAAUGCUGACAUAAGUAACGAUAAAGCGGGUGAAAAGCCCGCUCGCCGGAAGACCAAGGGUUCCUGUCCAACGUUAAUCGGGGCAGGGUGAGUCGACCCCUAAGGCGAGGCCGAAAGGCGUAGUCGAUGGGAAACAGGUUAAUAUUCCUGUACUUGGUGUUACUGCGAAGGGGGGACGGAGAAGGCUAUGUUGGCCGGGCGACGGUUGUCCCGGUUUAAGCGUGUAGGCUGGUUUUCCAGGCAAAUCCGGAAAAUCAAGGCUGAGGCGUGAUGACGAGGCACUACGGUGCUGAAGCAACAAAUGCCCUGCUUCCAGGAAAAGCCUCUAAGCAUCAGGUAACAUCAAAUCGUACCCCAAACCGACACAGGUGGUCAGGUAGAGAAUACCAAGGCGCUUGAGAGAACUCGGGUGAAGGAACUAGGCAAAAUGGUGCCGUAACUUCGGGAGAAGGCACGCUGAUAUGUAGGUGAAGUCCCUCGCGGAUGGAGCUGAAAUCAGUCGAAGAUACCAGCUGGCUGCAACUGUUUAUUAAAAACACAGCACUGUGCAAACACGAAAGUGGACGUAUACGGUGUGACGCCUGCCCGGUGC